This 354-nucleotide transfer-messenger RNA is filed under the name bacterium. RNAcentral describes it as "DSDE01 sp011049095 Standard tmRNA". It matches the Rfam family "transfer-messenger RNA". Rfam says of the family: Bacterial tmRNA, also known as 10Sa RNA or SsrA, is named for its dual tRNA and mRNA-like properties. Its role is to liberate the mRNA from a stalled ribosome. To accomplish this part of the tmRNA is used as a reading frame that ends in a translation stop signal. RNAcentral also lists the same sequence under 1 other name. The record is from RNAcentral.
GGGGGCGUCAAGGUUUCGACGAGGCAGUUUAGGUUAUGAUGGAAGCGUGCCGAGGACUCAGGUCACCUCGCUAAUCCGCCUGAAAACGGUAUAAAUGCCGACAAUUACGCAUACGCUGCUUAAUAAAAUAUAGGUAGCCGGCUCCCCAGACUUGUCUGUGGGUUUGGGAGAGGCGUCAUUUUCACAGACUCGCGAAAGGCCCCGCCUGGUGGCUGACCGCUAAAAUUUACAGGCUGGCCCAAAAGUGUUUGUUCGGUUCACAUUUGCGGGCGAGAACUUUGAAUCGGACUGCGCACGGAGAUGCCAAAAUAGUCUCUGUUUCGGACCCGGGUUCAAUUCCCGGCGCCUCCACAA